RNAcentral lists this transfer RNA (71 nucleotides) under Marmota monax (woodchuck). RNAcentral's name for it is "tRNA.Ala". The record is from RNAcentral. Lineage: Eukaryota; Metazoa; Chordata; Mammalia; Rodentia; Sciuridae.
GGAAUUUAGUUCAGUGGUAGAAUGUUGUCUAGCGUGAAUGAGGUCCUGGGUUCAAUCCCCGGUGGGUUCUG